RNAcentral lists this transfer RNA (73 nucleotides) under Canis lupus familiaris (dog). It matches the Rfam family "tRNA". From Rfam's summary of the family: Transfer RNA (tRNA) molecules are approximately 80 nucleotides in length. Their secondary structure includes four short double-helical elements and three loops (D, anti-codon, and T loops). The record is from Rfam by way of RNAcentral. RNAcentral also lists the same sequence under 1 other name. Lineage: Eukaryota; Metazoa; Chordata; Mammalia; Carnivora; Canidae.
GCCUGGCUGGCUCAGUCAGAGGAGCGUGUGACUCUUGUUCUCAGGGUCAUGAGUUCGAACCCCAUGUUGGGUG